Hippocampus comes (tiger tail seahorse) is the source of this 1473-nucleotide long non-coding RNA. RefSeq lists it as uncharacterized. The record is from RefSeq and is a predicted model, not a curated record. The transcript is spliced from 2 exons. Lineage: Eukaryota; Metazoa; Chordata; Actinopteri; Syngnathiformes; Syngnathidae.
UUUCCAAUCUCAAGUAUGAUUAAGCCUGCGCCGCCGAUCAAGUUCUUCAACUGGUCGAGAGCAGCCAAUGGAAAAUGUACAUCAACACACGGGAUUUUCACGACCAAAAGACGCACUUACAAGUCUUACAUUUUCUCCAUAAUGCGGGUCGCCUCGUGUAUGCGCCGAGUUCCAAAAUCCGUGAACGCUCUUGGGUGACUUUGAAGACCGAUGUUGACAUGACACGCUGCUUGUGCGGCGGACGUCACUGAGGACGCCGUGCGGAUGCUAAAGUGGGAAGGGUGGGCGUGAAAGAGGACGCCAAAUGUGCAGGAUCGUUGGUGACUCGACUCUCCUUUACACUGAAGGUGGCAAUCAAGUAAAAAUUGGAAACACGUCUCAACAACGAAGCAGCCCGAGAGAUGGACGGAGGCAGCGAGGACGGAGACCGUUUGAGAACCUGAAGCUAACCGUACAAGGCGCAGCAGAGCGUCGUAAGCUAAGGCCUGGCUUCCACGACAAUGACUGAAAGGUUCCACAUCAACGAGGAUGAACUUCCUUCUGCAAAGCUGAAGAAGAAAAAGAAGAAAGCCCACUUUACCGCUUGCAAGUUGCAUGAGCGUGGCGCUAUCGCAAAAUAGAAGAUGGAGAAAGUCCAUGCAGCAGUUGCAAGGUUCAUCUCAAAAUGUUGCGCCCCCCCGCUACUUGAAGCUGCCAAACGAGGCAAAAAGAGAGCAUCUGGUAGCAGUUAGGACACAAACCAAACUUGUCGCCCUUUCUGUCUCUUCCCCCAAAGCAUUUCUUAUAAACAAAGCACCAACAAGGUCUGCUCGGAUUUGACAAUAGUCGCAAAACUGGGUCAGGGAUACCCCCCCAACCCCCCGACUUGCUCAGGUGAACUCGUUUUAUGAGCAUUCUUGAGCUGAGGGGGUGGGGAGUUAAAGAGAGAGUUGAAGUUAAAGAGGAAGGGCAAGGAGAGGGAGGAGCGGGAGGGGGAGGGUGGGGGACAUAGCUCUUGGCACCCCCUCUGCCAAUAAACUCUCGCGUCCGUCCAAUCGGCAAAGACUACAGAGAGUUAACUGUUCCAAAAUGCUUGCUGGUUAGAAACUGGAAUUGGGUGCAAUGAUUGCUUCAGGCUGCCCGUUUGGCUUGGGGAAGCGUGCGUGGCCCACAUAUGGCUCGGCUUGCCUGACACUUGGGUAUUACCGCAGAGUUGAAGAUGAGGGGAUCGAGGGGCUGAAUGAGAUGCGACUUGAGGAAAAAAAAAACUGUCCGAGUGCAAACUGCACCGCCUCACUUGACCCAACUCCGACAGGCGUCUGUGCGGCUUCCUCGGAGUCGUGAAUAACAAUCUGCUGAAGAGGACAAACGCGGAGGGAGCAAAGCUACCUGUUGAGCCUUUUCAAGAGCGCCCGUAAGAAAAGCAAACUUUGGAAAAGCCAACUCGUGAUCGCAACAUCCCGACCGAGUGACCACAAGACACAAUUCUUUCGG